UACGUAGGGGGCAAGCGUUGUCCGGAUUCAUUGGGCGUAAAGAGCGUGUAGGCGGCCAGGUAGGUCGGUUGUGAAAACUGGAGGCUCAACCUUCAGAGGUCGACCGAAACCAUCUGGCUAGAGUCCGGGAGAGGAGAGUGGAAUUCCUGGUGUAGCGGUGAAAUGCGCAGAUAUCAGGAAGAACACCGGUGGCGAAGGCGGGUCUCUGGGCAGUAACUGACGCUGAGGAGCGAAAGCGUGGGGAGCGAACAGG
RNAcentral lists this ribosomal RNA (253 nucleotides) under uncultured bacterium. RNAcentral describes it as "partial 16S ribosomal RNA". It matches the Rfam family "Bacterial small subunit ribosomal RNA", at positions 524 to 776 of the family's 1533-position model. The record is from RNAcentral.